RNAcentral lists this ribosomal RNA (240 nucleotides) under uncultured Geobacter sp. Its description in RNAcentral is "partial 16S ribosomal RNA". Lineage: Bacteria; Pseudomonadati; Thermodesulfobacteriota; Desulfuromonadia; Geobacterales; Geobacteraceae. The record is from RNAcentral.
UACCCGCAACACCUAGUACUCAUCGUUUACGGCGUGGACUACCAGGGCUAUCUAAUCCUGUUUGCUACCCACGCUUUCGCGUCUCAGCGUCAAUAUCGGUCCAGGUAGCCGCCUUCGCCACCGGUGAUUCCUCCUAAUAUCUACGAGAUUUCACUCCUACACUAGAGAAUUCCACUACGCCUCUCUCCGUAUUCAAGAUCUGACAGAUAUCCAAUGCACUAUCCUGGGUUAGAGACCCAG